AGUGAACGCUGGCGGUAGGCCUAACACAUGCAAGUCGAACGGCAGCACAGUAAGAGCUUGCUCUUACGGGUGGCGAGUGGCGGACGGGUGAGGAAUACAUCGGAAUCUACUUUUUCGUGGGGGAUAACGUAGGGAAACUUACGCUAAUACCGCAUACGACCUACGGGUGAAAGCAGGGGAUCUUCGGACCUUGCGCGAUUGAAUGAGCCGAUGUCGGAUUAGCUAGUUGGCGGGGUAAAGGCCCACCAAGGCGACGAUCCGUAGCUGGUCUGAGAGGAUGAAACGCACCCCUGGAACGGGGCACCGGCCCAGCCCCCAACGGGAGGAAGAGGGGGGAAAAUUUGAACAAGGGGCGAAACCCUAUCCCAGCCAACCCGGGUGGGUGAAGAAGGCCUUGGGUUUGUAAAGCCCUUUUGUUGGGAAAGAAAAGCAGCAGGUUAAUCCCCCGCUUUUCUGACGGUACCAAAAGAAUAAGCCCCGGCUAACUUCGU
RNAcentral lists this ribosomal RNA (491 nucleotides) under uncultured bacterium. RNAcentral's name for it is "partial 16S ribosomal RNA". It matches the Rfam family "Bacterial small subunit ribosomal RNA", at positions 29 to 506 of the family's 1533-position model. The record is from RNAcentral.